GACGAACGCUGGCGGCAUGCCUAAUACAUGCAAGUCGAGCGAACAGAUGAAGUGCUUGCACUUCUGACGUUAGCGGCGAACGGGUGAGUAACACGUAAGGGAUCUACCUAUAAGCGGGGGAUAACAUUUGGAAACGGGUGCUAAUACCGCAUAAUAUCUUCUUCCGCAUGGAAGAAGAUUGAAAGACGGCUCUGCUGUCACUUAUAGAUGACCUUGCGGUGCAUUAGUUAGUUGGUGGGGUAACGGCCUACCAAGACGAUGAUGCAUAGCCGACCGGAGAGGGUGAUCGGCCACAUUGGAACUGGGACACGGCCCAAACUCCUACGGGAGGCAGCAGUAGGGAAUCUUCCGAAAUGGGCGAAAGCCUGAAGGAGCAAUGCCGCGUGAGUGAAGAUGGCCUUCGGGUCGUAAAACUCUGUUAUAAGAGAAGAACAAAUUGUAGAGUAACUGCUACAGUCUUGACGGUAUCUUAUCAGAAAGCCACGGCUAACUACGUGCCAGCCGCCGCCGUAA
This 513-nucleotide ribosomal RNA is filed under the name uncultured bacterium. RNAcentral describes it as "partial 16S ribosomal RNA". It matches the Rfam family "Bacterial small subunit ribosomal RNA", at positions 28 to 523 of the family's 1533-position model. The record is from RNAcentral.